RNAcentral lists this ribosomal RNA (257 nucleotides) under uncultured bacterium. RNAcentral describes it as "partial 16S ribosomal RNA". It matches the Rfam family "Bacterial small subunit ribosomal RNA", at positions 523 to 775 of the family's 1533-position model. The record is from RNAcentral.
UAGCGAAGGGGGCUAGCGUUGCUCGGGAAUCACUGGGCGUAAAGCGCACGUAGGCGGACUCUUAAGUCGGGUGGUGAAAUCCUGGAGCUCAACUCCAGAACUGCCUUCGAUACUGAGAGUCUCGAGUCCGGGAGAGGUGAGUGGAACUGCGAGUGUAGAGGUGAAAUUCGUAGAUAUUCGCAAGAACACCAGUGGCGAAGGCGGCUCACUGGCCCGGUACUGACGCUGGAGGUGACGAAAGCGUGGGGAGCAAACAG